CAGUAGCCGCGGGAAAACGGAGGGUGCAAGCGUUAAUCGGAAUUACUGGGCGUAAAGCGCACGCAGGCGGUCUGUCAAGUCAGAUGUGAAAUCCCCGGGCUUAACCUGGGAACUGCAUUUGAAACUGGCAGGCUAGAGUCUUGUAGAGGGGGGUAGAAUUCCAGGUGUAGCGGUGAAAUGCGUAGAGAUCUGGAGGAAUACCGGUGGCGAAGGCGGCCCCCUGGACAAAGACUGACGCUCAGGUGCGAAAGCGUGGGGAGCAAACAGGAUUAGAUACCCGAGUAGUCCCUGUCUCUUAUAA
This 301-nucleotide ribosomal RNA is filed under the name uncultured bacterium. Its description in RNAcentral is "partial 16S ribosomal RNA". It matches the Rfam family "Bacterial small subunit ribosomal RNA", at positions 509 to 809 of the family's 1533-position model. The record is from RNAcentral.